This is a long non-coding RNA of Scaptodrosophila lebanonensis, 253 nucleotides long. RefSeq lists it as uncharacterized. The transcript is spliced from 2 exons. NCBI's taxonomy places the organism in Eukaryota, Metazoa, Arthropoda, Insecta, Diptera, Drosophilidae. The record is from RefSeq and is a predicted model, not a curated record.
ACCCAGGUCUUUUGUCGGAUGCCGAUAUGUCCAUGCAGAAUAUAAGUAAUGAAAACAUUCUUUAUUUCUAAAGAUAUGGGAACCAAAUGGCAUUCUGCUGUCUUAUCUGAUGGUGUUGCUUCACUCACAUUUUUAAUAAAGGAUGAAAUUGUAGGAAAUAUAGCUAGCGACUAUUAACUAUGAAAGAAUUAUGUUUUGUUGCAAACACAAGGUAAUAAACGAGCUUUGGCAGACACGAUGUACGAAACUUGAA